Molecule: ribosomal RNA, 672 nt
Filed under: uncultured archaeon
Lineage: Archaea
Description: bacterial SSU rRNA
Rfam family: Archaeal small subunit ribosomal RNA
Source: RNAcentral
CGGUUGAUCCUGCCGGAGGCCGCUGCUAUCCGGCUGGGACUAAGCCAUGCGAGUCAUGGGGCGUGAGCCGCUUCGGCGGUUCACGCACCGGCGGACGGCUCAGUAACACGUGGCCAACCUGCCCUCGGGAGGGGGAUAACCCCGGGAAACUGGGGCUAAACCCCCAUAGGGGACGGGUACUGGAAUGUCCCGUCUCCGAAAGUGCACGGUUGCCGUAAGGCGCCGUGCAGCCCGAGGAUGGGGCUGCGGCGGAUUAGGUAGUUGGCGGGGUAACGGCCCGCCAAGCCGAAGAUCCGUACGGGCCAUGGGAGUGGGAGCCCGGAGAUGGACCCUGAGACACGGGUCCAGGCCCUACGGGGCGCAGCAGGCGCGAAACCUCCGCAAUGCGGGAAACCGCGACGGGGGCAGCCGGAGUGCCCGCGCAUCGCGCGGGCUGUCGGGGUGCCUAAAAAGCACCCCACAGCAAGGGCCGGGCAAGGCCGGUGGCAGCCGCCGCGGUAAUACCGGCGGCCCGAGUGGCGGCCACUAUUAUUGGGCCUAAAGCGUCCGUAGCCGGGCUGGUAAGUCCCCCGGGAAAUCUGGCGGCUUAACCGUCAGACUGCCGGGGGAUACUGCCAGCCUAGGGACCGGGAGAGGCCGGGGGUAUUCCCCGGGGUAGGGGUGAAAUCCUGU